CCUACGGGAGGCAGCAGUGAGGAAUAUUGGUCAAUGGACGAGAGUCUGAACCAGCCAAGUAGCGUGAAGGAUGACUGCCCUAUGGGUUGUAAACUUCUUUUAUAAAGGAAUAAAACGAGGCACGUGUGCCUUUUUGCAUGUACUUUAUGAAUAAGGAUCGGCUAACUCCGUGCCAGCAGCCGCGGUAAUACGGAGGAUCCGAGCGUUAUCCGGAUUUCUUGGGUUUAAAGGGAGCGUAGAUGGGUUGUUAAGUCAGUUGUGAAAGUUUGCGGCUCAACCGUAAAAUUGCAAUUGAUACUGGCAGUCUUGAGUACAGUUGAGGUAAGCGGAAUUCGUGGUGUAGCGGUGAAAUGCUUAGAUAUCACGAAGAACCCCGAUUGCGAAGGCAGCUUACUAAACUGUGACUGACAUUGAUGCUCGAAAGUGUGGGUAUCAAACAGGAUUAGAUACCCGAGUAGUA
RNAcentral lists this ribosomal RNA (460 nucleotides) under uncultured bacterium. Its description in RNAcentral is "partial 16S ribosomal RNA". It matches the Rfam family "Bacterial small subunit ribosomal RNA", at positions 338 to 795 of the family's 1533-position model. The record is from RNAcentral.